RNAcentral lists this ribosomal RNA (776 nucleotides) under uncultured Neocallimastigales. Its description in RNAcentral is "partial large subunit ribosomal RNA". It matches the Rfam family "Eukaryotic large subunit ribosomal RNA", at positions 22 to 616 of the family's 3401-position model. The record is from RNAcentral. Lineage: Eukaryota; Fungi; Neocallimastigomycota; Neocallimastigomycetes; Neocallimastigales.
GUACACGCUGUGACUAGCAUAUCAAUAAGCGGAGGAAAAGAAACUAACAAGGAUUCCCUUAGUAACGGCGAUGUGAAGCGGGAAGAACUCAAAUUUGAAAUCUUCAAGGUUUUACCUUGACGAAUUGUAGUUUAAAGAAGUGUUUUCUGCUGAAGUUUUGGUAAAAGUUCUUUGGAAUAGGACAUCAUAGAGGGUGAGAAUCCCGUAUUUGACCAUUAUUUUCAGCUUUGUGAUACACUUUCAAAGAGUCGGAUUGUUUGGGAAUGCAGUCCAAAAUGGGUGGUAAAUUUCAUCUAAAGCUAAAUAUUGGCGAGAGACCGAUAGCGAACAAGUACCGUGAGGGAAAGAUGAAAAGAACUUUGAAAAGAGAGUUAAACAGUACGUGAAAUUGUCAAAAGGGAAGCGUUUGACACCAGUGUUGUUUAAUUGAAAAUCAAUUAACUAAUUUUUGAUUUUAAGUAGUAUUUGACUUUAUCAGCUUGCUAUUUAUUUUUCGAAAAUUAUUUAAUGCACUUUUCAGUUAACAAGUCAACAUCAAUUUCUUUUGCUGUAAAAAAGCUUGAGGAAGGUGGCUUGAGAUUCGUCUUAAGUGUUUAUAGCCUCUUGCCUAUGCAGUCGGAGAGAUUGAGGUCUGCAGCGUAGAUCCUUCGGGGCUAAAUGCAUUUGUGCUAAGUUAUAGCAUUUUAUAGACAACUUGUUGACUAUGAUUUGUCUUGUAGCUUACUCGCUUAUGUUAUUUUACCUACGCUUAGGAUGUUGAGCGCAUGUCUCUCUCU